This 428-nucleotide ribosomal RNA is filed under the name uncultured bacterium. Its description in RNAcentral is "partial 16S ribosomal RNA". It matches the Rfam family "Bacterial small subunit ribosomal RNA", at positions 354 to 796 of the family's 1533-position model. The record is from RNAcentral.
GUGGGGAAUAUUGGGCAAUGGGCGAAAGCCUGACCCAGCAACGCCGCGUGAAGGAAGAAGGUUUUCGGAUUGUAAACUUCUGUCCUCAGGGAAGAAGGAAGUGACGGUACCUGAGGAGGAAGCCCCGGCUAACUACGUGCCAGCAGCCGCGGUAAUACGUAGGGGGCGAGCGUUGUCCGGAAUGACUGGGCGUAAAGGGCGCGUAGACGGCUGUCUAAGUCUGGAGUGAAAGUCCUGUUUUCAAGGCGGGAAUUGCUUUGGAGACUGGAUGGCUUGAGUGCGGAAGAGGUAAGUGGAAUUCCCAGUGUAGCGGUGAAAUGCGUAGAGAUUGGGAGGAACACCAGUGGCGAAGGCGACUUACUGGGCCGUAACUGACGUUGAAGCGCGAAAGCGUGGGGAGCGAACAGGAUUAGAAACCCCGGUAGUCC